AGCAAAAAAGGUGAGAAAAUGAGGCUUUUGGUGAUCGAUUUUGAGAGGAAGCCACGGUGGUGAAGAGAGGAAGCCAUGGUGGUGAACAGAGGAAGCCACAGUGGUGAAGGGAAGCCACGGGCUGGAAAGAAAAGAAAAAAGAAUUAAACGAUUUUUUACAGCUCCCCUAUAUGUUUAUCUGUGAAAUAAAUCUGUACUUCCUCGCAUAUGGGGGG
Molecule: long non-coding RNA, 215 nt
Filed under: Theobroma cacao (cacao)
Lineage: Eukaryota; Viridiplantae; Streptophyta; Magnoliopsida; Malvales; Malvaceae
Description: long non-coding RNA (TCAC_LNC000965)
Source: RNAcentral